GUAACAAACCCGACUUGGAUCUGAUAAAUUUCCAGUUAUAAUAAUUUAAACCGGCUUGACUGGUUUGAGAAUUGUAUACCGAUUGUUUUUGUCGAAUUGAACAAAGUGGCGUUAAAUGGCGCCGAAUUUUCGGCGAAUAACUUUUGACAUUGUUCGUGUGCAUUAAACCUGACAGUACAGGGACAUUUAUUUAAUCGCAAAAAUCCCCCGAAAUAAAUCAAUCAGGGCGACGCAACGAUUCGGCUCGUGUAAUUGUCAUGGCUCUUUAUUGAACAUCGCAUCCCAACUAAUCCGGUAUGUUUUACAUUAAUCCGAAUGACGCAAUCAACUGGAUCACAAACAAAGUUAGUAAUGUUGGAAGAAAUCAGUGAUUUUAAAAUGAUUUAAUGAAAUUGGUAGUCAAUAAAUUUGGAGUAAGCAAACAAAACACAGUAGAAAAUAAAUAAAAAGAGACUGUUUGUCGAAAAUUGCAAUAAUAAAAACAGUGUCAACGCAUUUCACUUUUGAUUCGUUUCCAAUUUGAACCGUUGAUAUCGUUGUUUAAAUUCAUCAGUCCGUAAAAAUGCGAA
This is a long non-coding RNA of Aethina tumida (small hive beetle), 569 nucleotides long. RefSeq lists it as uncharacterized. The transcript is spliced from 3 exons. Lineage: Eukaryota; Metazoa; Arthropoda; Insecta; Coleoptera; Nitidulidae. The record is from RefSeq and is a predicted model, not a curated record.